GGCGUGGAUGAGGCAUGCAAGUCGAACGGAAUAAUGACUUCGGUUGUUAUUUAGUGGCGGAAGGGUUAGUAAUACAUAGAUAAUCUGUCCUCAACUUGGGAAUAACGGUUGGAAACGACCGCUAAUACCGAAUGUGGUAUGUUUAGGCAUCUAAAACAUAUUAAAGAAGGGGAUCUUCGGACCUUUCGGUUGAGGGAGAGUCUAUGGGAUAUCAGCUUGUUGGUGGGGUAAUGGCCUACCAAGGCUUUGACGUCUAGGCGGAUUGAGAGAUUGACCGCCAACACUGGGACUGAGACACUGCCCAGACUUCUACGGAAGGCUGCAGUCGAGAAUCUUUCGCAAUGGACGAAAGUCUGACGAAGCGACGCCGCGUGUGUGAUGAAGGCUCUAGGGUUGUAAAGCACUUUCGCUUGGGAAUAAGAGAGAUUGGCUAAUAUCCAAUCGAUUUGAGCGUACCAGGUAAAGAAGCACCGGCUAACUCCGUGCCAGCAGCUGCGGUAAUACGGAGGGUGCUAGCGUUAAUCGGAUUUAUUGGGCGUAAAGGGCGUGUAGGCGGAAAGGAAAGUUAGAUGUUAAAUCUUGGGGCUCAACCCCAAGCCAGCAUCUAAUACUAUCUUUCUAGAGGGUAGAUGGAGAAAAGGGAAUUCCACGUGUAGCGGUGAAAUGCGUAGAUAUGUGGAAGAACACCAGUGGCGAAGGCGCUUUUCUAAUUUACACCUGACGCUAAGGCGCGAAAGCAAGGGGAGCAAACAGGAUUAGAUACCCUGGUAGUCCUUGCCGUAAACGAUGCAUACUUGAUGUGGAUAGUCUCAACCCUAUCCGUGUCGUAGCUAACGCGUUAAGUAUGCCGCCUGAGGAGUACACUCGCAAGGGUGAAACUCAAAAGAAUUGACGGGGGCCCGCACAAGCAGUGGAGCAUGUGGUUUAAUUCGAUGCAACGCGAAGAACCUUACCUGGGCUUGACAUGUAUUUGACCGCGGCAGAAAUGUCGUUUUCCGCAAGGACAGAUACACAGGUGCUGCAUGGCUGUCGUCAGCUCGUGCCGUGAGGUGUUGGGUUAAGUCCCGCAACGAGCGCAACCCUUAUCGUUAGUUGCCAACACUUAGGGUGGGAACUCUAACGAGACUGCCUGGGUUAACCAGGAGGAAGGCGAGGAUGACGUCAAGUCAGCAUGGCCCUUAUGCCCAGGGCUACACACGUGCUACAAUGGCCAGUACAGAAGGUAGCAAUAUCGUGAGAUGGAGCAAAUCCUCAAAGCUGGCCCCAGUUCGGAUUGUAGUCUGCAACUCGACUACAUGAAGUCGGAAUUGCUAGUAAUGGCGUGUCAGCUAUAACGCCGUGAAUACGUUCCCGGGCCUUGUACACACCGCCCGUCACAUCAUGGGAGUUGGUUUUGCCUUAAGUC
Molecule: ribosomal RNA, 1405 nt
Filed under: uncultured Chlamydia sp.
Lineage: Bacteria; Pseudomonadati; Chlamydiota; Chlamydiia; Chlamydiales; Chlamydiaceae
Description: bacterial SSU rRNA
Rfam family: Bacterial small subunit ribosomal RNA
Source: RNAcentral